CCUACGGGAGGCAGCAGUGGGGAAUAUUGGGCAAUGGGCGCAAGCCUGACCCAGCAACGCCGCGUGAAGGAAGAAGGCUUUCGGGUUGUACACUUCUUUUCUCAGGGACGAAGCAAGUGACGGUACCUGAGGAAUAAGCCACGGCUAACUACGUGCCAGCAGCCGCGGUAAUACGUAGGUGGCAAGCGUUAUCCGGAUUUACUGGGUGUAAAGGGCGUGUAGGCGGGACUGCAAGUUAGAUGUGAAAAUCACGGGCUCAACCUGUUGCCUUGAUUUGAAACUGUAGUUCUUGAGUACUGGAGAGGCAGACGGAAUUCCUAGUGUAGCGGUGGAAUGCGUAGAUAUUAGGAGGGACACCAGGGGCGAAGGCGGUCUGCUGGACAGCAACUGACGCUGAGGCGCGAAAGCGUGGGGAGCAAACAGGAUUAGAUACCCGGGUAGUC
RNAcentral lists this ribosomal RNA (443 nucleotides) under uncultured bacterium. RNAcentral's name for it is "partial 16S ribosomal RNA". It matches the Rfam family "Bacterial small subunit ribosomal RNA", at positions 338 to 795 of the family's 1533-position model. The record is from RNAcentral.